Molecule: ribosomal RNA, 440 nt
Filed under: uncultured bacterium
Lineage: Bacteria
Description: partial 16S ribosomal RNA
Rfam family: Bacterial small subunit ribosomal RNA
Source: RNAcentral
CCUACGGGAGGCUGCAGUGGGGAAUAUUCCACAAUGGAGGGAACUCUGAUGCAGCGACGCCGCGUGAGUGAAGAAGUAAUUCGUUAUGUAAAGCCCUAUCAGUAGGGAAGAAAGUGACGGUACCUGAAAAAGAAGCUCCGGCUACAUACGUGCCAGCAGCCGCGGUAAUACGUAUGGAGCAAGCGUUAUCCGGAUUGACUGGGUGUAAAGGGAGAGUAGGUGGCAGAGCAAGUACGAGGUGAAAACCCAAAGCUCAACUAUGGGAAUGCUUAAGAAACUGCUCAACUAGAGUGCAGGAGAGGCAAGUGGAAUUCUUGGUGUAGCAGUGAAAUGCGUAGAUAUUAGGAGGAACACCAGUGGCGAAGGCGGGUUGCUGGACUGUAACUGACACUGAGGCUCGAAGGCGUGGGGAGCGAACAGGAUUAGAUACCCUUGUAGUC